This 101-nucleotide ribosomal RNA is filed under the name Beta vulgaris subsp. vulgaris (sugar beet). The record is from RNAcentral. Lineage: Eukaryota; Viridiplantae; Streptophyta; Magnoliopsida; Caryophyllales; Amaranthaceae.
ACGCAUGCACCGGAUCUCAUCAGAACUCCGCAGCUAAGUGUGCUUGGGCGAGAGUAGUACUAGGAUGGGUGACCUAAAUUAGCCCCCUAGUACUACUCUCG